Molecule: ribosomal RNA, 452 nt
Filed under: uncultured Pseudomonadota bacterium
Lineage: Bacteria; Pseudomonadati; Pseudomonadota
Description: bacterial SSU rRNA
Rfam family: Bacterial small subunit ribosomal RNA
Source: RNAcentral
CCGACCUAAUACGUCGGGAGGAUGACGGUACCGAAAGAAUAAGCACCGGCUAACUUCGUGCCAGCAGCCGCGGUAAUACGAAGGGUGCAAGCGUUACUCGGAAUUACUGGGCGUAAAGCGUGCGUAGGUGGUUCGUUAAGUCUGCCGUGAAAGCCCCGGGCUCAACCUGGGAAUGGGCGGUGGAUACUGGCGGACUAGAGUGCGGUUGAGGGUGGUGGAACUCCCGGUGUAGCAGUGAAAUGCGUAGAGAUCGGGAGGAACAUCUGUGGCGAAGGCGGCCACCUGGACCAGCACUGACACUGAGGCACGAAAGCGUGGGGAGCAAACAGGAUUAGAUACCCUGGUAGUCCACGCCCUAAACGAUGCGGACUGGACGUUGGGCUCAAUUAGGAGCUCAGUGUCGAAGCUAACGCGUUAAGUCCGCCGCCGUGGGGAGUACGGUCGCAAGACUG